CAAAAUGGUGAUAUAUAUCACUCAAAAACACUCAUAUUAGUGUUAUAGAGGACAUAUAUUAGUUUAAGGUUACAAAACUUUUCAAAACUCAAGUAAUUUCACAUUCAGUACCAAAAUAGUCGCAAGUAUGGUCGGUAAAUAGUUGCAAAACUUGUCACAAAAUAGUCGCAAACAGGCAAAUAGUUCCAAAAUGGUGGCAAAUUUGCGACGGUUGUGUGACUGUGAUCUAUUAGUCACAAGGCAAAAUUUUGAAAUCUACACAUUUCGAUCCAAAAUGGUGACAUAUAUCACUCUAUAACACUCAUAUUAGGGUUAUAGAGGACAUAUAUUAGUUUAAGGUUACAAAACUUUGCAAAACUCAAGUAAUGUAGAGUUUUUACUAAAUCCCUAAACAUUACUCAUAUGAGUAAUGUAAUAUCAUAAAGAGAUUUGUUUGUUUUUGAUAUUUUGUUUCUAAACAUCAGUAUUUAUGACUUUGGUUAAGAUUUUCUUGAUGAGUAAUAUCAAAUAAGUGUAGAAAUGUUUAACUUUAUAUGUAAGCAAAUUUAAAAUGUGAAAAGUGAGAAAACAAAAAUCGAGAGUUGGCAAAUAGUCGCAUAUGGGUCGCAAUCUCAGGUGCUAGUCGCAAAACAGUCGCAAAAUCUUCAGGUGCUAGUCGCAAAUGACCGACUAGUUAGCGACUAAGAGAAAAUUGGUGGAG
This 700-nucleotide long non-coding RNA is filed under the name Arabidopsis lyrata. RNAcentral describes it as "long non-coding RNA (ALYR_LNC001969)". The record is from RNAcentral. Lineage: Eukaryota; Viridiplantae; Streptophyta; Magnoliopsida; Brassicales; Brassicaceae.